GGCCGCAGGCUGCAGUGCGCACAGCACACACCUCGGUGCCGGGAGACACGCCUGCUGCGCGGUGACUUGCAGGCCUGUGCGUGCAUGCGUGUGCCUGUGGGUGCAGAGGCCGCCCCUCGGCCCGCCAGGAGGACGGUGCCCCCACGAGUCAGGAUCGAGCCCAACCUUGCCUGUUGGGCCCACACAUCUUGAGAGGGCAUCCUGGGGCACUGAACCAGCCUCUGCCCCACCCCAGGGCCCAGGGCAUUGGGGUGGGGGUGGGCAUCCCAAGGCUGAGCUCACUCCAUCCUCAACACAGCAGCGGGAGCACGUCCUGCCCAGAGCGGGAGCCCGACCCUGUGCCUGCAGCCAAGGCCGGUCUUCGCCAGAUGGCCCGGCUGGUGUGGCUCAGUGGUUGAGUGUCGACCUAUGAACCAGGAGGUCAUGGUUGGGUUCCCGGCCAGAGCACGCCUGGGUUGCGGGCUCGAUCCCCGGUGCGGGGCGUGCAGGAGGCAGCCGAUCCAUGAUUCUCUCUCAUCACUGAUGUUUCCCUCUCUCU
Eptesicus fuscus (big brown bat) is the source of this 538-nucleotide long non-coding RNA. RefSeq lists it as uncharacterized. NCBI's taxonomy places the organism in Eukaryota, Metazoa, Chordata, Mammalia, Chiroptera, Vespertilionidae. The record is from RefSeq and is a predicted model, not a curated record. The transcript is spliced from 4 exons.